GAUGAAGAACGUAGCAAAAUGCGAUAAGUAAUGUGAAUUGCAGAAUUCAGUGAAUCAUCGAAUCUUUGAACGCACAUUGCGCCCGCUGGUAUUCCGGCGGGCAUGCCUGUUCGAGCGUCAUUUCAACCCUCAAGCCCCGGGUUUGGUGUUGGGGAUCGGCUCUGCCCUUCUGGGCGGUGCCGCCCCCGAAAUACAUUGGCGGUCUCGCUGCAGCCUCCAUUGCGUAGUAGCUAACACCUCGCAACUGGAACGCGGCGCGGCCAUGCCGUAAAACCCCAACUUCUGAAUGUUGACCUCGGAUCAGGUAGGAAUACCCGCUGAACUUAAGCAUAUCAAUAAGCGGAGGA
This 347-nucleotide unclassified non-coding RNA is filed under the name soil metagenome. RNAcentral describes it as "partial contains 5.8S ribosomal RNA, internal transcribed spacer 2, and large subunit ribosomal RNA". The stretch from base 1 to 120 matches the Rfam family "5.8S ribosomal RNA", at positions 35 to 154 of the family's 154-position model. The record is from RNAcentral.